RNAcentral lists this ribosomal RNA (400 nucleotides) under uncultured bacterium. RNAcentral's name for it is "partial 16S ribosomal RNA". It matches the Rfam family "Archaeal small subunit ribosomal RNA", at positions 473 to 873 of the family's 1478-position model. The record is from RNAcentral.
AUACCAGCACCCCGAGUGGUCGGGACGUUUAUUGGGCCUAAAGCAUCCGUAGCCGGUUCUACAAGUCUUCCGUUAAAUCCACCUGCUUAACAGAUGGGCUGCGGAAGAUACUAUAGAGCUAGGAGGCGGGAGAGGCAAGAGGUACUCGAUGGGUAGGGGAAAAAUCCGUGGAUCCAUUGAAGACCACCAGUGGCGAAGGCGGCUUGCCAGAACGCGCUCGACGGUGAGGGAUGAAAGCUGGGGGAGCAAACCGGAUUAGAUACCCGGGUAGUCCCAGCUGUAAACGAUGCAGACUCGGUGAUGAGUUGGCUUAUUGCUAACUCAGUGCCGCAGGGAAGCCGUUAAGUUUGCCGCCUGGGGAGUACGGUCGCAAGACUGAAACUCAAAUGAAUUGACGGGG